GCAAGUCGAAACGGCUGCACAGCACUAGCAAUACUGUGGGUGGCGAGUGGCGGACGGGUGAGUAAUGCAUCGGGACCUACCCAGACGUGGGGGAUAACCUCGGGAAACCGGGACUAAUACCGCAUACGUCCUACGGGAGAAAGCGGGGGACCUUCGGGCCUCGCGCGGUUGGACGGACCGAUGUGCGAUUAGCUAGUUGGUAGGGUAAUGGCCUACCAAGGCGACGAUCGCUAGCUGGUCUGAGAGGAUGAUCAGCCACACUGGGACUGAGACACGGCCCAGACUCCUACGGGAGGCAGCAGUGGGGAAUAUUGGACAAUGGGCGCAAGCCUGAUCCAGCAAUGCCGCGUGUGUGAAGAAGGCCUUCGGGUUGUAAAGCACUUUUAUCAGGAACGAAAUACCACGGGUUAAUAACCUAUGGGGCUGACGGUACCUGAGGAAUAAGCACCAGGCUAACUUCGUGCCAGCAGCCGCGGUAAUACAAAGGGUGCAAGCGUUAAUCGGAAUUACUGGGCGUAAAGGGUGCGUAGGCGGUUGUUUAAGUCUGUCGUGAAAUCCCCGGGCUCAACCUGGGAAUGGCGAUGGAUACUGGGCAGCUAGAGUGUGUCAGAGGAUGGUGGAAUUCCCGGUGUAGCGGUGAAAUGCGUAGAGAUCGGGAGGAACAUCAGUGGCGAAGGCGGGCAUCUGGGACAACACUGACGCUGAAGCACGAAAGCGUGGGGAGCAAACAGGAAUAGAUACCCUGGUAGUCCACGCCCUAAACGAUGCGAACUGGAUGUGGGUUCACCUCGGAGAUCA
Molecule: ribosomal RNA, 798 nt
Filed under: proteobacterium 8R12-301
Lineage: Bacteria; Pseudomonadati; Pseudomonadota
Description: bacterial SSU rRNA
Rfam family: Bacterial small subunit ribosomal RNA
Source: RNAcentral